Non-coding RNA from Podarcis lilfordi (Lilford's wall lizard), 74 nucleotides. NCBI's taxonomy places the organism in Eukaryota, Metazoa, Chordata, Lepidosauria, Squamata, Lacertidae. The record is from the annotation of a GenBank genome assembly.
GGAGGGCUGUAGCUUAGUGGUUUAGCAUCUGUUCUGUAAGCAGAUGGUCACAGGUUGAAUCCCUGGCAUUUCCA